Molecule: ribosomal RNA, 460 nt
Filed under: uncultured bacterium
Lineage: Bacteria
Description: partial 16S ribosomal RNA
Rfam family: Bacterial small subunit ribosomal RNA
Source: RNAcentral
CCUACGUGUGGCAGCAGUGAGGAAUAUUGGUCAAUGGGCGGAAGCCUGAACCAGCCAAGUCGCGUGAGGGAUUAAGGCCCUGCGGGUCGUAAACCUCUUUUGCCGGGGAGCAGUGGUCCGGACGCGUCCGGACCGGGAGAGUACCAGGAGAAAAAGCAUCGGCUCACUCCGUGCCAGCAGCCGCGGUAAUACGGAGGAUGCGAGCGUUAUCCGGAUUGAUUGGGGUUAAAGGGUGCGUAGGCGGGCAUUUAAGCCGGGGGUCAAAUGUCGGGGCCAAACCCCGGCCUGCCGUCGGAACGGGGUGCCUUGAGUGGGCGAGAAGAAGGCGGAAUGCGUGGUGUAGCGGUGAAAUGCAUAGAUAUCACGCAGAACCCCGAUUGCGAAGGCAGCCUUCCGGCGCCCUACUGACGCUGAGGCACGAAAGUGCGGGGAUCGAACAGGAUUAGAUACCCGAGUAGUC